CAGUAGCGUAUAUUAAAGUUGUUGCAGUUAAAAAGCUCGUAGUUGGACUUCUGGUUUGGUGCGCUCGGCCCGCUCCCUUUAGGGAUGUGAGUGUUGACGCGCGCCUUCCAUCUUUGUACAGGACCUCUCUGCCCUUCAUUGGGACUGGAUUGGCGAUGUGCAUCUUUUACUUUGAAAAAUUAGAGUGUUUAAAGCAGGCUUGUGCUAUGAAUACAUUAGCAUGGAAUAAUAAGAUAGGACUGUAGUGCUAUUUUGUUGGUUUGCGUACUAUGGUAAUGAUUAAUAGGGAUAGUUGGGGGUAUUCAUAUUCAAUUGUCAGAGGUGAAAUUCUUGGAUUUAUGGAAGAUGAACUACUGCGAAAGCAUUUACCAAGGAUGUUUUCAUUAAUCAAGAACGAAAGUUAGGGGAUCGAAGAUGAUCAGAUACCAU
This 429-nucleotide ribosomal RNA is filed under the name uncultured eukaryote. RNAcentral's name for it is "bacterial SSU rRNA". It matches the Rfam family "Eukaryotic small subunit ribosomal RNA", at positions 592 to 1018 of the family's 1831-position model. The record is from RNAcentral.